GCGGCGGUAGCUCAGUGGUAGAGCCCCCGCUUUGCAUGUAGGGGGACCUGGGUUCGAUUCUCGGUUGCUUCC
This 72-nucleotide transfer RNA is filed under the name Toxocara canis (dog roundworm). It matches the Rfam family "tRNA". Rfam says of the family: Transfer RNA (tRNA) molecules are approximately 80 nucleotides in length. The record is from Rfam by way of RNAcentral. Lineage: Eukaryota; Metazoa; Nematoda; Chromadorea; Rhabditida; Toxocaridae.